This 164-nucleotide non-coding RNA is filed under the name bovine gut metagenome. RNAcentral's name for it is "Lysine riboswitch". It matches the Rfam family "Lysine riboswitch aptamer". Rfam says of the family: Riboswitches are metabolite binding domains within certain messenger RNAs that serve as precision sensors for their corresponding targets. The record is from RNAcentral.
UAGAUAGAGGCGCGGUGUUCAUCAGUACCAUACCGGCAAGGCCAGGCAGCUGUCGGACGGGAAAGGGACCAUCGCCGAAGAUUCAGAAGGGUGCCUGCCCGACUGUUUCUGGGCUGCGCGAGAAGAUCGUACAGACUGUCACAAUACUUUGUGGAGCGCUAUCG